Molecule: long non-coding RNA, 235 nt
Filed under: Lathyrus oleraceus (garden pea)
Lineage: Eukaryota; Viridiplantae; Streptophyta; Magnoliopsida; Fabales; Fabaceae
Description: Pisum sativum (pea) long non-coding RNA (PSAT_LNC023039)
Source: RNAcentral
UCUUUUAGUUGAUUUCCUAAGUUUUAUCGCAUUUCAUAAUUUCCUUCUUGUUUUAUGUUGUAUUAGUGGUUCAUCUCUUUUUGUCGCAUUUUAUGCGUUUCCGUGGUAAAACACUUUGUUCUUUCUUUUAGUUGAUUUCCUAAGUUUUAUCGCAUUUCAUAAUUUCCUUCUUGUUUUAUGUUGUAUUAGUGGUUCAUCUCUUUUUGUCGCAUUUUAUGCGUUUCCGUGGUAGUUC